This 482-nucleotide ribosomal RNA is filed under the name uncultured bacterium. RNAcentral describes it as "partial 16S ribosomal RNA". It matches the Rfam family "Bacterial small subunit ribosomal RNA", at positions 28 to 507 of the family's 1533-position model. The record is from RNAcentral.
GACGAACGCUGGCGGCGUGCUUAACACAUGCAAGUCGAACGCUGAAGCUCAGCUUGCUGGGUGGAUGAGUGGCGAACGGGUGAGUAACACGUGAGUAACCUGCCCUCUUCUUUGGGAUAACGCCCGGAAACGGGUGCUAAUACUGGAUAUUCACUGAUUCUCGCAUGGGGGUUGGUGGAAAGGUUUUUUCUGGUGGGGGAUGGGCUCGCGGCCUAUCAGCUUGUUGGUGGGGUGAUGGCCUACCAAGGCUUUGACGGGUAGCCGGCCUGAGAGGGUGACCGGUCACAUUGGGACUGAGAUACGGCCCAGACUCCUACGGGAGGCAGCAGUGGGGAAUAGUGCACAAUGGGCGAAAGCCUGAUGCAGCGACGCCGCGUGAGGGAUGGAGGCCUCCGGGUUGUAAACCUCUUUCGCUCAUGGUCAAGCCGCAGCUUUGGGUUGUGGUGAGGGUAGUGGGUAAAGAAGCGCCGGCUAACUACGUG